AUUGAACGCUGGCGGCAGGCCUAACACAUGCAAGUCGAACGAGAGGCGGACGGGUGAGUAAGGUAUGGGAACAUGCCUGAUGGAGGGGGAUAACUACGGGAAACGGUAGAUAAUACCGCAUACCAUCAGAUGUGUCCAGAUGGGAUGAGCUUGUUGGUGGGGUAACGGCUCACCAGGGCGACGAUCCCUAGCUGGUCUGAGAGGAUGACCAGCCACACUGGAACUGAGACACGGCCCAGACUCCUACGGGAGGCAGCAGUGGGGAAUAUUGGACAAUGGGCGAAAGCCUGAUGCAGCCAUGCCGCGUGUGUGAAGAAGGCCUUCGGGUUGUAAAGUACUUUCAUCGGGGAGGCGUUACCCGCAGAAGAAGCACCGGCUAACUCCGUGCCAGCAGCCGCGGUAAUAC
RNAcentral lists this ribosomal RNA (406 nucleotides) under uncultured bacterium. RNAcentral describes it as "partial 16S ribosomal RNA". It matches the Rfam family "Bacterial small subunit ribosomal RNA", at positions 30 to 526 of the family's 1533-position model. The record is from RNAcentral.